CCUACGGGCGACAGCAGUGAGGAAUAUUGGGCAAUGGACGAGAGUCUGAACCAGCCAAGUAGCGUGAAGGAUGACUGCCCUAUGGGUUGUAAACUUCUUUUAUAUGGGAGUAAAAUGUUCCACGUGUGGGGUUUUGUAUGUACCAUAUGAGUAAGGAUCGGCUAACUCCGUGCCAGCAGCCGCGGUACUACGGAGGAUCCGAGCGUUAUCCGGAUUUAUUGGGUUUAAAGGGAGCGUAGGUGGAUUGUUAAGUCAGUUGUGAAAGUUUGCGGCUCAACCGUAAAAUUGCAGUUGAAACUGGCAGUCUGGAGUACAGUAGAGGUGGGCGGAAUUCGUGGUGUAGCGGUGAAAUGCUUAGAUAUCACGAAGAACUUCGAUGGCGAAGGCAGUUCACUGGACUGCAACUGACACUGAGGCUCGAAAGUGUGGGUAUCAAACAGGAUUAGAUACCCGUGUAGUC
Molecule: ribosomal RNA, 460 nt
Filed under: uncultured bacterium
Lineage: Bacteria
Description: partial 16S ribosomal RNA
Rfam family: Bacterial small subunit ribosomal RNA
Source: RNAcentral